This 740-nucleotide ribosomal RNA is filed under the name Bacillus hackensackii. RNAcentral's name for it is "bacterial SSU rRNA". It matches the Rfam family "Bacterial small subunit ribosomal RNA", at positions 399 to 1128 of the family's 1533-position model. The record is from RNAcentral. Lineage: Bacteria; Bacillati; Bacillota; Bacilli; Caryophanales; Bacillaceae.
GCGUGAGUGAUGAAGGUCUUCGGAUCGUAAAACUCUGUUAUCAGGGAAGAACAAGUAUCGGAGUAACUGCCGGUACCUUGACGGUACCUGACCAGAAAGCCACGGCUAACUACGUGCCAGCAGCCGCGGUAAUACGUAGGUGGCAAGCGUUGUCCGGAAUUAUUGGGCGUAAAGCGCGCGCAGGCGGUCUCUUAAGUCUGAUGUGAAAUCCCGUGGCUUAACCACGGGCGGUCAUUGGAAACUGGGGGACUUGAGUGCAGAAGAGAAGAGCGGAAUUCCACGUGUAGCGGUGAAAUGCGUAGAGAUGUGGAGGAACACCAGUGGCGAAGGCGGCUCUUUGGUCUGUAACUGACGCUGAGGCGCGAAAGCGUGGGGAGCGAACAGGAUUAGAUACCCUGGUAGUCCACGCCGUAAACGAUGAGUGCUAAGUGUUAGAGGGUUUCCGCCCUUUAGUGCUGCAGUUAACGCAUUAAGCACUCCGCCUGGGGAGUACGGCCGCAAGGCUGAAACUCAAAGGAAUUGACGGGGGCCCGCACAAGCGGUGGAGCAUGUGGUUUAAUUCGAAGCAACGCGAAGAACCUUACCAGGUCUUGACAUCCCGCUGCCCGGUCUGGAGACAGGCCUUUCCCUUCGGGGACAGCGGUGACAGGUGGUGCAUGGUUGUCGUCAGCUCGUGUCGUGAGAUGUUGGGUUAAGUCCCGCAACGAGCGCAACCCUUGACCUUAGUUGCCAGCAUUCAG